This 484-nucleotide ribosomal RNA is filed under the name uncultured bacterium. Its description in RNAcentral is "partial 16S ribosomal RNA". It matches the Rfam family "Bacterial small subunit ribosomal RNA", at positions 30 to 507 of the family's 1533-position model. The record is from RNAcentral.
AUUGAACGCUGGCGGCAGGCCUAACACAUGCAAGUCGAGCGGAUGAAGGGAGCUUGCUCCUGGAUUCAGCGGCGGACGGGUGAGUAAUGCCUAGGAAUCUGCCUGGCAGUGGGGGAUAACGUCCGGAAACGGGCGCUAAUACCGCCUACGUCCUGAGGGAGAAAGUGGGGGAUCUUCGGACCGCACGCUAUCAGAUGAGCCUAGGUCGGAUUAGCUAGUUGGUGGGGUAAAGGCCUACCAAGGCGACGAUCCGUAACUGGUCUGAGAGGAUGAUCAGUCACACUAGAACUGAGACACGGUCCAGACUCCUACGGGAGGCAGCAGUGGGGAAUAUUGGACAAUGGGCGAAAGCCUGAUCCAGCCAUGCCGCGUGUGUGAAGAAGGUCUUCGGAUUGUAAAGCACUUUAAGGUGGGAGGAAGGGCAGUAAGUUAAUACCUUGCUGUUUUGACGUUACUAACAGAAUAAGCACCGGCUAACUUCGUG